CUUUUAAAGGAUAGAAGCCUAA
This 22-nucleotide transfer RNA is filed under the name Carinascincus ocellatus. RNAcentral's name for it is "partial tRNA-Leu". The record is from RNAcentral. Lineage: Eukaryota; Metazoa; Chordata; Lepidosauria; Squamata; Scincidae.